RNAcentral lists this ribosomal RNA (255 nucleotides) under uncultured bacterium. RNAcentral's name for it is "partial 16S ribosomal RNA". It matches the Rfam family "Bacterial small subunit ribosomal RNA", at positions 524 to 776 of the family's 1533-position model. The record is from RNAcentral.
UACGUAGGGACCGAGCGUUGUCCGGAUUCAUUGGGCGUAAAGAGCUCGUAGGCGGCUGCUCAAGUCGAAUGUGAAAACUCGAGGCUCAACCUCGAGCCUGCAUUCGAUACCGGGCGGCUAGAGUCUGGUAGGGGGAUCUGGAAUUCCUGGUGUAGCGGUGGAAUGCGCAGAUAUCAGGAGGAACACCGGUGGCGAAGGCGGGGAUCCUGGGCCAGUACUGACGCUGAGGAGCGAAAGCGUGGGGGAGCAAACAGG